This 497-nucleotide ribosomal RNA is filed under the name uncultured bacterium. RNAcentral describes it as "partial 16S ribosomal RNA". It matches the Rfam family "Bacterial small subunit ribosomal RNA", at positions 28 to 507 of the family's 1533-position model. The record is from RNAcentral.
GAUGAACGCUGGCGGCGUGCCUAAUACAUGCAAGUCGAGCGAACAGAUGAGGAGCUUGCUCCUCUGACGUUAGCGGCGGACGGGUGAGUAACACGUGGAUAACCUACCUAUAAGACUGGGAUAACUUCGGGAAACCGGAGCUAAUACCGGAUAAUAUAUUGAACCGCAUGGUUCAAUAGUGAGAGACGGUUUUGCUGUCACUUAUAGAUGGAUCCGCGCCGCAUUAGCUAGUUGGUAAGGUAACGGCUUACCAAGGCAACGAUGCGUAGCCGACCUGAGAGGGUGAUCGGCCACACUGGAACUGAGACACGGUCCAGACUCCUACGGGAGGCAGCAGUAGGGAAUCUUCCGCAAAGGGCGAAAGCCUGACGGAGCAACGCCGCGUGAGUGAUGAAGGUCUUCGGAUCGUAAAACUCUGUUAUUAGGGAAGAACAAAUGUGUAAGUAACUAUGCACGUCUUGACGGUACCUAAUCAGAAAGCCACGGCUAACUACGUG